UAUGUGAUCGUCUCUCGCAUAUCAAUAAGCGGAGGAAAAGAAACUAACAAGGAUUCCCCUAGUAACGGCGAGUGAAGCGGGAAGAGCUCAAAUUUGAAAUCUUAAAGGGUUUCCCUUACGAAUUGUAGUUUAAAGAAGUGUUUUCUGUUGAGGUUUUGGUAAAAGUUCUUUGGAAUAGGACAUCAUAGAGGGUGAGAAUCCCGUAUUUGACCUUUACUUUCAACUUUGUGAUACACUUUCAAAGAGUCGGAUUGUUUGGGAAUGCAGUCCAAAAUGGGUGGUAAAUUUCAUCUAAAGCUAAAUAUUGGCGAGAGACCGAUAGCGAACAAGUACCGUGAGGGAAAGAUGAAAAGAACUUUGAAAAGAGAGUUAAACAGUACGUGAAAUUGUCAAAAGGGAAGCGUUUGACACCAGUGUUGUUUUUCUGAAAAUCAAUUAAAGAACUGUUUAUGCUAAGUUGUUUAGACUUUAUCAGCUAACUGUUUAGUUUUGAGCUUUUCUUUAAUGCACUUUUCAGUUAGCAAGUCAACAUCAAUUUCUUUUGCUGUAAAAAAGCUUGAGGAAGGUGGCUUGAGAUUCGUCUUAAGUGUUUAUAGCCUCUUGCCUAUGCAGUCGGAGAGAUUGAGGUCUGCAGCGUAGAUCCUUCGGGGCUAAAUGCAUUUGUGCUAAGUUAUAGCAUUUUAUAGACAACUUGUUGACUAUGAUUUGUCUUGUAGCUUACUCGCUUAUGUUAUUUUACCUACGCUUAGGAUGUUGAAGACUCUACAGAGAU
This 772-nucleotide ribosomal RNA is filed under the name uncultured Neocallimastigales. Its description in RNAcentral is "partial large subunit ribosomal RNA". It matches the Rfam family "Eukaryotic large subunit ribosomal RNA", at positions 24 to 632 of the family's 3401-position model. The record is from RNAcentral. Lineage: Eukaryota; Fungi; Neocallimastigomycota; Neocallimastigomycetes; Neocallimastigales.